RNAcentral lists this ribosomal RNA (253 nucleotides) under uncultured bacterium. Its description in RNAcentral is "partial 16S ribosomal RNA". It matches the Rfam family "Bacterial small subunit ribosomal RNA", at positions 524 to 776 of the family's 1533-position model. The record is from RNAcentral.
UACGAAGGGGGCUAGCGUUGCUCGGAAUUACUGGGCGUAAAGGGCGCGUAGGCGGCACUGUUAGUCAGGCGUGAAAGUCCUGGGCUCAACCUGGGAACUGCGCUUGAUACGGCAGAGCUAGAGGAUGGAAGAGGCUCGCGGAAUUCCCAGUGUAGAGGUGAAAUUCGUAGAUAUUGGGAAGAACACCGGUGACGAAGGCGGCGAGCUGGUCCAUUACUGACGCUGAGGCGCGACAGCGUGGGGAGCAAACAGG